This 73-nucleotide transfer RNA is filed under the name Spirochaetes bacterium RBG_13_51_14. RNAcentral's name for it is "tRNA-Met". It matches the Rfam family "tRNA". Rfam says of the family: Transfer RNA (tRNA) molecules are approximately 80 nucleotides in length. Their secondary structure includes four short double-helical elements and three loops (D, anti-codon, and T loops). The record is from RNAcentral. Lineage: Bacteria; Pseudomonadati; Spirochaetota. RNAcentral also lists the same sequence under 1 other name.
CGCGCGGUGGAGCAGUAGGUAGCUCGUUGGGCUCAUAACCCAAAGGUCGCAGGUUCAAAUCCUGCCCGCGCUA